Long non-coding RNA from Branchiostoma floridae (Florida lancelet), 343 nucleotides. RefSeq lists it as uncharacterized. The record is from RefSeq and is a predicted model, not a curated record. NCBI's taxonomy places the organism in Eukaryota, Metazoa, Chordata, Leptocardii, Amphioxiformes, Branchiostomatidae. The transcript is spliced from 2 exons.
UGUGCGCUCAUUGGUUGAUCCUGAAUCACAUGAUUCUCACAACCAUAUAAGUACAAGGGAUGAUCACCCUACUGCCUCUUGUUGGAUUCAUCCGCAACGCCGAGGAGCGCGUGGUGAGGUCGACCCAGGAAGUAACAGCUGGAGAGAGAUUCGAUGGGAAACAGGGUUUUCCCGAGGAGGGGAUUUAUCAGAAACCGACCCACCCACCCACCCUCCUUUAUAUUCGUGUACAGCUGGCAAGGGUUCCGUCUUCGCCGCGCGACUUCGGCGCUAUCCCCAUAACUUAAUCACAUAUGAAGGAUGAUCCAAUGAGUGCGCAGUGUGGAUAGGAAACUAUUUAUAC